CCUACGGGAGGCAGCAGUGAGGAAUAUUGGUCAAUGGGCGGAAGCCUGAACCAGCCAAGUAGCGUGCAGGAUGACGGCCCUACGGGUUGUAAACUGCUUUUAUACGGGAAUAACGCGCCUUACGUGUAGGGCUUUGCAUGUACCGUAUGAAUAAGGACCGGCUAAUUCCGUGCCAGCAGCCGCGGUAAUACGGAAGGUCCGGGCGUUAUCCGGAUUUAUUGGGUUUAAAGGGAGCGUAGGCCGGUGGUCAAGCGUGCUGUGAAAUGUUCGGGCUCAACCCGGGCCUUGCAGCGCGGACUGGCAUGCUUGAGUCCGCGGAAGGCAGGCGGAAUUCGUCGUGUAGCGGUGAAAUGCUUAGAUAUGACGAAGAACCCCGAUUGCGAAGGCAGCUUGCUGCAGCGGAACUGACGCUGAUGCUCGAAAGCGCGGGUAUCGAACAGGAUUAGAUACCCCUGUAGUC
Molecule: ribosomal RNA, 460 nt
Filed under: uncultured bacterium
Lineage: Bacteria
Description: partial 16S ribosomal RNA
Rfam family: Bacterial small subunit ribosomal RNA
Source: RNAcentral